Molecule: ribosomal RNA, 253 nt
Filed under: uncultured bacterium
Lineage: Bacteria
Description: partial 16S ribosomal RNA
Rfam family: Bacterial small subunit ribosomal RNA
Source: RNAcentral
UACGAGGGGUCCUAGCGUUGUUCGGAAUCAUUGGGCGUAAAGAGUAUGUAGGCGGCUAGAUAAGUCAGGUGUGAAAUCCCCGGGCUCAACCCGGGAAGUGCAUUUGAUACUGUCUAGCUUGAGUACGGCAGAGGGGGAUGGAAUUCCGCGUGUAGCAGUGAAAUGCGUAGAUAUGCGGAGGAACACCGAUGGCGAAGGCAAUCCCCUGGGCCUGUACUGACGCUCAUGCACGAAAGCGUGGGGAGCAAACAGG